GUGGGGAAUAUUGGACAAUGGGCGAAAGCCUGAUCCAGCAAUGCCGCGUGAGUGAAGAAGGCCUUAGGGUUGUAAAGCUCUUUUACCCGGGAUGAUAAUGACAGUACCGGGAGAAUAAGCUCCGGCUAACUCCGUGCCAGCAGCCGCGGUAAUACGGAGGGAGCUAGCGUUGUUCGGAAUCACUGGGCGUAAAGCGCACGUAGGCGGCUUUGUAAGUUAGAGGUGAAAGACCGGGGCUCAACUCCGGAACUGCCUUUAAGACUGCAUCGCUUGAAUCUGGGAGAGGUAAGUGGAAUUCCGAGUGUAGAGGUGAAAUUCGUAGAUAUUCGGAAGAACACCAGUGGCGAAGGCGGCCAUCUGGACCAGCACUGACACUGAGGCACGAAAGCGUGGGGAGCAAACAGGAUUAGAUACCCUUGUAGUCC
This 425-nucleotide ribosomal RNA is filed under the name uncultured bacterium. RNAcentral describes it as "partial 16S ribosomal RNA". It matches the Rfam family "Bacterial small subunit ribosomal RNA", at positions 354 to 796 of the family's 1533-position model. The record is from RNAcentral.